Cephus cinctus (wheat stem sawfly) is the source of this 4672-nucleotide long non-coding RNA. RefSeq lists it as uncharacterized. The transcript has 5 exons. The record is from RefSeq and is a predicted model, not a curated record. NCBI's taxonomy places the organism in Eukaryota, Metazoa, Arthropoda, Insecta, Hymenoptera, Cephidae.
UCUUCCUGCAGUUCGCUUCGGUACGUAUACGGCAGACAGUUGCAUCGACAGCGAGUGAAUUUAUUUGAUUUACUUACAUGACCAGUGUAUUUAUUAAAGAAAGACAAUGCGUGUGGGCGUUGUAAGAUGACGUACAGCGUAACCGAUAAUUUUGGGUCAGUGACUAGCAGACAAGAAUUUUUUUCCCGUUCGACAGCGAUUGAGAUACAUGCGAAACAUGGUAUUCGAGCGGUAUCCUUGAGCGAUUGUCGUUAUACGUAAACAAAAGAAACGACAUGGCUGAGUGCACGUGACAGAAGAGACAUUGUCUCGUAGAAUUGAAAAUCGAGAGCUACGAAAAUCCAAGAGAAAUCACAAGAGAAAGUGUAACACUCCUGCAUGUACAAUAUGGUUAUGAUUACGGGCCAAGACUGCUAACCUUCAAAUUCCCAAAAGCAGAGCGUUACUCAAGACUUCCUCUGUAGCUCGUUAACCGUGAACUUGACUCAAAGUCCGACUCUGUGUCUGCUGAGUUUGUAUAGCCCGAGGGAAUCAUUCAUUCGAGUCAGUGUAUUAUACGAGUGAACGUGCUGAAUAAAAAUUCAAUGGUUUAUCAACUAGUUGAACAGUGUCCACAUUGUAUCCACUGCGUACGCACUUACGUGUACGCAAAUUAUUAUCCAAAGUGCGACGGCCGAUCCGAGAAAAAUAGAUAGCCGAUCUUAGUGUGUCAGUGUGCCUAUAUGCUAAUUGGUGGUCGAUGAGCGAGUCAACCUUUGCGAAUUGGCAUGGCCCGUCUCUCUUUAACAUACGCAUAUACCAUACCUACCUUUCAUAGCACGCGAGUACAUACAUAUAUGACUAUAUAAAUACGAAUAAAUAUACUCGUAUAUAUCAGCACGGUUAUUCGUACAGUAGUUUAACGGUACAAUGUUCGCUAUGCUGACGGUAGAAAGUAGUUUGAUAUUUUGACUGUGUCUAGAACCGUACUAUGUAUUUUGGUUAACUUCACAAGUAGCCAAGUAGUAUUGCAAAUCGAAUAAAUCAUUAUCAAGUAUUUCCUACAUACAAAAAGUCUGUCAGGUCAAUAAAGAUUUCACAGCGACUAUGAAUUCCGUGGUUUACAUUGAAUCUUAUGGGAGUAAAUAGGUAAACCAGUAUGUACAUAUAUGUAGAAUCGUGUCGCAUUGAUUGUACGUUGAUAAAGAUGUUGUGGGUUAAUUACUACCGGGUCGAUUAUUAUCACAUGAAAUUCCCCAUCAACUAUGGGAAAUGUUAAGCCGAUUCUCAUUAAGCCCGGGCACAGCAUCAGCGAACCCGCAAACGGCCAACUAGACACGCGGUUCGCACUCUCUGCUAAUUGGCAGAUAAAAGUUGAAGUGGCUGAACUGGAGCGGCGUUCCUGCGCGAAGUAGGAGUCGCAGACAUAAUGAAUUAGCUAGAUAAUUUUAUAAACAGUAGUUUUAAUGUCUUCAUAGUAUUUCGUACCUACCCCGAGCCCGACCUAACCUCCUCACUUAUGGUCAACGCAGCAAACUCCCACAAUGCAUCACCAUCAAGAAAUUCAAAUUCAACGUUCAAACGAUCAACGACCCAACUGCACCUAUGCUGCGAAUCAAUAGCGAAGAAUUCAAAAAGAAAGUCACUAGAUGAAUUAGAUCCAAGUAGCCAGGAUCUGUAAUACGUGUCCGGAUGUGACCCAGUCACUCAUUCGUUAAGUCACUCGCUCACUUUCACCUCCUACGCAUGAAUUUUCUACAUUGACUCUCGCAGCGUUCGCGCCAACCCAAGCAAGAAGCUCAGGGUCGUUCGUAAAAUUCCCUAGAUAUAUCCCUAUAGUCAUCGGCGCCUCACUAGCAUAGAGUUAAUACAGAUAGAGCAGACAAGCCAGCUCUCAACGCGGCAGCGGCGAAGAGAGAGAUAGAUGCAAAUCAGAGUGCAAAGACGGAUAGCUAAAGGGGUUCAGCUGUCUCUUUCUUUCUCAUUAUGAGCGAACGGACACUUACACUUGCAGAGCAGCCUAUGGCUUGUCUGCUCUAUCUGUAUUAACUCUAUGCUCACUAGUCGUCCAGUACCACGCUUUGUCCUUGUUACCAACCGACGUCACGUGUCUAAGAAUACAGUCAGCUUUUUAUCAUCAUCCAACCGCCCACUCUAACCUUCCUGCUACUCUAUUCUCCGUUUCCCCAAUCGUCCCCGCCCUAACCUCCUCACUUUCACCGGCUGCAUUCUGUGCAUCCGGAAUGGUCGACGGCCCGAUCGUAAAUAGGAUAACCACUUGGUGUAAUCUACUUAUCCAUUCGACUACUCAGCACUUUGGACUCUGCUCCAUUCCAUCCAGACUCUCCAAAGCAUUCUCCCGUGUAUCGUCUAGAUAAAUUUUGAUUGGUAAAAGAGAAUGAAAAAAAGUUUCCUUUUCUCCAACAAGUAUGUCUUAUUUUUCAUAUCUAUUCCGGAUACAGCAUCCGAGUCUGGCAUUUCUCUAGGAUAUCCUGUGAGCAUUCCCCAUUGUCCUUAACACUCUCUUAUCAACCCGAUAGCAUGCUUCUCAAUCUCUUUCGUUUCUAGAUGACGUACUCGGCUAACCAGAAUGAUUGGGGUUGCCUUGUAACACGCUCGAUGCGGUUCGUGCCUCGUGGCCCACGCGGACAAGACUCGGCCAUUGGAACGUUCCAAAUACUUACCACGACUGGUACGUACGGGCCAUUGCUGACGGCAUGUUACUCUUGAGUGUCUAAAGAGGGAAUUAAUGUGACAAAGGAAGACACUGUUCUUGGUUGUUGUUUUCGAGAGUUCUCCAUGGCCUACGUCGGCUCCUAGUACACUGAUCAUGGACCGAUUACUAUCUCAAGGAUGGAUACUGGGAACUGUGAACCAAGCAGAAAGAGGAACGAUCCGAGGAGAAAGUUCCGAAGGCAGGAAGUGAAGUAGGCCACGACUUUGACCGCUCGCAAGGUCCAUACCUCUCCUCAUACUAUUGCUGGUCUUGCUGUUACUGUGGUGGCUAUACCGAGCGCCAUCCUGCUGAUGGUAAUUGGUAGGCCACUGCCCACUGCCAACUUACAACUGGCUGAUGCCCACUGCUCGGUUACUGGUAACUGGUGGAACGCACUUCGAUUCGAACCAUUCUUUUUUAUCUUAGUUUGACUUUUUAUGCCUGACGUUAACACUCCAUUUAAUUGACGACCUUUACUCGGUUCGACAAGUUCUCCAAUGGGAUUGGCCCGAUUCUCUAUUGGUACCGUGAUACACUUAAUCGGUUUCAAUAUUUUUUUUAUUACUCUCUACAUCAUGCCUCAAGAGUGUCUGGAUUAAAGGAGCCAUGCCGAGGAAUUUCUACGUGGCCAGAGUUACGUCAGAGCUUUCUCUAUUACGUGGAAUGAGGGUGUACGUCCCUAUUGUAGUAAUGGUGUAUAAAUAUGGACCGAGUCGUUGGGCCUUGAAUUAACAUUUCCUGAUAGGCCGGACCCAUGCAGCCCAUCCGACACGUGGAUGCCCAAGACUGUGUCAAGGCUGUUUUUUAACCCGGAUGAAUGACGUACUAAAAUUUCAACCAGGAAACAGAGAAAAUCUUAUCGCUUCUAUGGAACAGUCUUUUCGACAAGCUCGUACAAUAUCGAUGAAACUAAAAUAACGUCGAUUGGCAAUUAGUCGUUUCUAAAAAGACAUUGCCCGGCUGGUAUACAGUUCCUUUCAAAAUUCCAUCCCGAGUGACAAUGCAAAACGUUCUGCCGAUUGGCUUCGAUGUUAAUUCACUUUUUGCAUGAAUUCACGCCAGGUUGAAUAUCGAUGAGGAGUACCAACAGAAUACCCAGCACACACCGUUACGAUAAAAAAGCAAAAUAUAUCCUAGCAGGUACAAUACAAGUUCAGAAGAUAAAAAUCGAUGGAAAAAAAGGGUCUACUCGUUCAAUCAAUUGCCUUAAGUGAUUUUUUCAUAAAAUCAAUUACACGCAAAAUGGCGUUCCUCAAAAUUCCGUAGGGACUUAAGAAAAAGGUAUAUAAUAAAACGUUCCAGAUAAGAACGUGUUCUCGAUUACCGGAAGUAGCAGCGAGACGUCUGGGUAUCUUCUAGGGUGCCCCUGAGACGGCUAAUAAAAUCGGAAGAAUUAAAUCGGCCUUCGUUCGCUCUGCUACCAAACCAACGAAACAUAGGAGAACGUCCGUCCGACUGGUACAGACUUUACCUACUGCCUAUGCUACACGCACCGACCAUACCUACAGUCUGGUGCAUAAAUAGUUACUCCAUACACUAAUCACGUAGCAUACUACUCGUUCGUACAUAUGUACUUUAUACACGAGUGUACUCGCACGUAUCUCUGUAUACUAGGCUGUAGCGAACGAUAAUCGUAGAGUAGGUCAGCGGAACAGCGCCUCUAGCAAUCUGCGUUCUUCGGCUCUUCAAUAUUUACUCCUUCUUGUAUCGAAGAUGCCAUGGACUUCGUAUACACUGGAAUGGACCAGUUGGAUUAACGUGCCCAGUUGCAUUCGAGAGGAACAAUCCUUAUGACAAUCUUGAUCUGCAUACGAGUACCGGAUAUCCCCUCCCUAAAACAAAGCCAUAGUAAUUAUUGCGUGACAAUGAUAAAACGAUUUUUGUAAUUUGCUUAAAUUUCUCUAUGAAUUGUCGAGGAAAGUUGAAGAAAGGAGUGUGUACAAAUCAAUACCGAAUAAAGGAUAGAUUAUUGAGGAA